GACGAACGCUGGCGGCGUGCUUAACACAUGCAAGUCGAACGGAAAGGCCCUGCUCUUGCGGGUUGCUCGAGUGGCGAACGGGGGAGUAACACGUGAGUAACCUGCCCUUGACUUUGGGAUAACUUCAGGAAACUGGGGCUCUUACCGGAUAGGAGCUCCUGCUGCACGGGGGGGGUUGGUAAGUUUCGGCGGUAGGGGAUGGACUCGCGGCUUAUCAGCUGGUUGGUGGGGUAGUGGCUUACCAAGGCUUUGACGGCUAGCCGGCCUGAGAGGGUGACCGGCCACAUUGGGACUGAGAUACGGCACAGACUCCUACGGGAGGCAGCAGUGGGGAAUAUUGCACAAUGGGCGGAAGCCUGAGACAGCAACGCCCCGUGCGGGAUGACGGCCUUCGAGUUGUAAACCGCUUUCGCCUGAGACGAAGAGUGAGUGACGGUAAUGAGUAAAGAAGCAACGGCUAACUACGUG
RNAcentral lists this ribosomal RNA (468 nucleotides) under uncultured bacterium. RNAcentral describes it as "partial 16S ribosomal RNA". It matches the Rfam family "Bacterial small subunit ribosomal RNA", at positions 28 to 507 of the family's 1533-position model. The record is from RNAcentral.